UACGAAGGGGGCUAGCGUUGCUCGGAAUCACUGGGCGUAAAGGGCGCGUAGGCGGGCUGCCAAGUCCGUGGUGAAAUCCCCCGGCUCAACCGGGGAAGGGCCUCGGAUACUGGCGGCCUCGAGGGGGGUAGGGGCGUGCGGAACUGUGGGUGGAGCGGUGAAAUGCGUUGAUAUCCACAGGAACUCCGGUGGCGAAGGCGGCACGCUGGACCCCAUCUGACGCUGAGGCGCGAAAGCCAGGGGAGCGAACGGG
RNAcentral lists this ribosomal RNA (253 nucleotides) under uncultured bacterium. Its description in RNAcentral is "partial 16S ribosomal RNA". It matches the Rfam family "Bacterial small subunit ribosomal RNA", at positions 524 to 776 of the family's 1533-position model. The record is from RNAcentral.